This 423-nucleotide ribosomal RNA is filed under the name uncultured rumen bacterium. RNAcentral's name for it is "bacterial SSU rRNA". It matches the Rfam family "Bacterial small subunit ribosomal RNA", at positions 354 to 776 of the family's 1533-position model. The record is from RNAcentral.
GUGGGGAAUAUUGCACAAUGGGGGAAACCCUGAUGCAGCAACGCCACGUGUGGGAAGAAGCAUUUCGGUGUGUAAACCACUGUCAUGAGGGAAUAAGGCCCUUAUUCGUAAGGGAUUGAAUGUACCUUGAGAGGAAGCACCGGCAAACUUCGUGCCAGCAGCCGCGGUAAUACGAGGGGUGCAAGCGUUGUUCGGAAUUACUGGGCGUAAAGGGAGCGUAGGCGGAGAUUCAAGCGGAUUGUACAAUCCCGGGGCCCAACCCCGGCUCUGCAGUCCGAACUGGAUCUCUUGGAUAGUUCAGGGGCAGGCGGAAUUCCUGGUGUAGCGGUGGAAUGCGUAGAGAUCAGGAAGAACACCGAUGGCGAAGGCAGCCUGCUGGGGACUCAUCGACGCUGAGGCUCGAAAGUGCGGGUAGCAAACAGG